GGAGGCAUAGCUCAGCUGGUCAGAGCGCUCGCCUCACACGCGAGAGGUCACUGGUUCGAGCCCAGUUGUCUCCACCA
This 77-nucleotide transfer RNA is filed under the name Clostridia bacterium. RNAcentral describes it as "tRNA-Val". It matches the Rfam family "tRNA". Rfam says of the family: Transfer RNA (tRNA) molecules are approximately 80 nucleotides in length. Their secondary structure includes four short double-helical elements and three loops (D, anti-codon, and T loops). The record is from RNAcentral. Lineage: Bacteria; Bacillati; Bacillota; Clostridia.